GUUGUUCCCAGAAUCCCUCCGCGCUGUGUCCUUUCCGAGUCCUAGGAGCGGAGGUGCUCCAAGUUAGGCCUCUUCUCCAGGGCUCAAGCGGCCAGAUACUCAGGCCCACAUAACCCUGGUUCCCCUAAGGAAAACCUAGAGGCAGCAAUAAAUGAUGGGGAAGUUCUAAGGAUACUUCCGCGAUUAACAGCUACUCUAGAAAGAUGGAGAACAAUCAUUUCCAGGUCUCUGCCCUCUCCCCAAAGGACGUUUGACCGUUGUUCCGCCCUGAGCUUCCCGGAAAGAAAAGCCGCGACAACGGGACUUCUCGCGACAUUUCCCCUUCUGCUCUGUGGACGGUAGUUGUGUACGAUUUGGAAGCAAGUGAUCAUCGAAUUGGUAAGCUAUAAAUUAUCCAGAGGAGGAAAAUCAGGAUGAUGGUGGAGCUUAAAUCCAUGGCAUAUGAAAGUCAGAUGAAUAAGACAUGCAUACUGUGGAGAAAAGAAGACUCAGAAGAAACAAUAUAGAUGUCUUUAAGCAUUUUGAAGGUCCUUACGUUGUCUUCAGGAUGAUUAGCUGACUAAAACUCCAGAAGCCAGACGAGUCAGCAGAAAAACCAACACUUCUAUCAUCACCUCCUUUAAAUGGAAAGGAGACAUGGCCUCAGACAGACCGUGUGGAGUAGGACCUCCACUACGGAGCUAAAAAUGACUCUGGGAAUUUAUGUAUGUCUUUGGGACCAAAGAUUGCUCAGCAAAGGAUUUUUAUUUGUUUCCUUCCUUCUAGUAAAACUACAUGAUUCUAGGUAGGGAACCAGCCUCAGUUUUCCUGGAGAGCACCAUGCCUGUGUUUAGUAAAAACAUCCUCCAUGGUCUAUAAAAGCAAGCUAAUAGACAAUCUCUCUAUCUCUCAGACACACACAUCGUUCAGGACUCUUUUUGCCUCUUUCCUUGUUCUUUAUCCCAGUAUCCAGUUGUAAUAAUAAAGGACUUCCUAAAUGGGAAUUAGGCCCAUUUGAGGAAACCUAGCCACAAGCUUUAACCUCAGUAUAUGAAGAGUUUAUUUUGUAGCAUCUCCUGAUGAGGGAUAAUGAGUCAGAGAGAUAAUGACCCUCUUAGUGUCCUUCCUCAGGAUGGAUCCCAGUCUAUGUGAGCCCAGAGUAUUAGGGUACCUGGGGCAAUAUAUGAUGUUUUUUGCAACAGCAAAAAAUAAUAAUAAAUUGCUAAAU
This is a non-coding RNA of Phascolarctos cinereus (koala), 1207 nucleotides long. The record is from RefSeq and is a predicted model, not a curated record. Lineage: Eukaryota; Metazoa; Chordata; Mammalia; Diprotodontia; Phascolarctidae.